Long non-coding RNA from Onychostoma macrolepis, 976 nucleotides. RefSeq lists it as uncharacterized. NCBI's taxonomy places the organism in Eukaryota, Metazoa, Chordata, Actinopteri, Cypriniformes, Cyprinidae. The record is from RefSeq and is a predicted model, not a curated record. The transcript has 4 exons.
UAAGAAAAAGACAAAAACAUCUUUAGUCUAACAUCACUGUAUGCAAAAUUCCCUUUCAGAAACUUACAUGUAAAAUCAAGGUCAGUGUCUUCUACUUUCUUCUGGGGUUGGAUCUCGACUCGACCCUCCUUCACUCCAAUCACCUCUGACACUGGUACUGAAACUAAGAACAACAGACAGACACUUUACACUCUUGCGUAUACUGUGCUUAUUGUCAAGCCUGGCUGGUGCUGUUCAACUUGUUUUGAGGUCAUCAGAAUGCAGACAAAGACAAAUUGCAAGUUUUGUAUAAAACAGGUUCACUUCGCUGUGAGGCUGCGCACCUGUCCUGGAUAUUUGCAUACGCAACUCUGAUUGGAUAAACAUCUGUGAAUAUGCAGACGGAUACAAUAGAUUAGUCUGAACACAUAGGCUAAUAAGAACAUCAGAUGUCAAAAACACAAGUGCCAGGCUUGCUUGACUGCAUCAAGCACACCUUACUCAUCUUCGGACUAUUUUUAUGUUUCUUCUCUUCCUUUAUAUAAACCAGGAAAGCUGACUUUCCUGAAAGACUGCUUAACUCGCCUGCCUGCAAAAGUUCCCUAAAGACUGUAUCUCCAAACAGAAAUUAAACAGUCAUCAAAUUGUAAAAGUUUUACGUGCUAUGUUGGAAUAAAAAUGUUGCAUGCAUCUUUUGUCACUAUUAAUAUUUUUAUUUUUAUAUGAUGAAAUGCCAUUAUGUAUAUUGAUGUAGACCUUAAUUGCAAUGGGAAUCACACAAUAAGAUGUAUACCCUUCCUAAAGAAACCACUUUUUAGUGUUUUCCAGUCUGUUUUGUAAUGUACUUAUCCAGUCUGUUUUGUAAUGACAAGCUUGUACCCUGUGUUUCAAAACAGUUACUUAUAACUUCCAGCAGGUGGAGACAACGGUUUAGAUAUGCAUAUGCAUGGCUUGUAACCAAAUACACCUGAUAUUGGUUUUGUCAAUUUAUUGAGAU